UACCUUUCUUGUCUUCUUGUCUUCUUUAUAUAUCUUCCUAGGCCCUUAUCCUAAAAUUGGACUUGUUCUUGCUAUUUUAGGAAUUGUCCUAACAAGGGAAGGAAGGAAAUAAUUAGACAAAAGAGAGAGUAGUGUAAGAAAGAAGAAAUAAGAAAAAAAUUUGAAUCCAUCAGAACCUCGGCGCGCACCCCCUUUUAUAUCCGAAGAUCGGAUGCAUUCGCACUGUUCCAACCCAAUUCCCAUGCCCAAAAAUCACACCUUUCCAGCUUUGAAAUAUCGGUCCAAGUCUUAUCUAAUACAUGGAAUUAUCUAAAUUAAUUCAAGAGUCACUUCAAAGUAGAAGGACUCUUCGAAAUUAAUUCUCCAGUG
This 369-nucleotide long non-coding RNA is filed under the name Elaeis guineensis (African oil palm). RNAcentral describes it as "long non-coding RNA (EGUI_LNC061912)". The record is from RNAcentral. Lineage: Eukaryota; Viridiplantae; Streptophyta; Magnoliopsida; Arecales; Arecaceae.